Molecule: transfer RNA, 76 nt
Filed under: Edaphosphingomonas fennica
Lineage: Bacteria; Pseudomonadati; Pseudomonadota; Alphaproteobacteria; Sphingomonadales; Rhizorhabdaceae
Also listed under: 6 other names
Description: tRNA-Thr
Rfam family: tRNA
About the family: Transfer RNA (tRNA) molecules are approximately 80 nucleotides in length. Their secondary structure includes four short double-helical elements and three loops (D, anti-codon, and T loops).
Source: RNAcentral
GCCGCCUUAGCUCAGCUGGUAGAGCAUCGCAUUCGUAAUGCGAGGGUCACAGGUUCGAGUCCUGUAGGCGGCACCA